GGCUGUCGUCAGCUCGUGUUGUGAAAUGUUGGGUUAAGUCCCGCAACGAGCGCAACCCUUAUCCUUUGUUGCCAUCGAUUAGGUCGGGAACUCAAAGGAGACUGCCGUUGAUAAAGCGGAGGAAGGUGGGGACGACGUCAAGUCAUCAUGGCCCUUACGACCAGGGCUACACACGUGCUACAAUGGCGUAUACAAAGGGAGGCGACCUCGCGAGAGCAAGCGGACCUCAUAAAGUACGUCUAAGUCCGGAUUGGAGUCUGCAACUCGACUCCAUGAAGUCGGAAUCGCUAGUAAUCGUGAAUCAGAAUGUCACGGUGAAUACGUUCCCGGGCCUUGUACACACCGCCCGUCACACCAUGGGAGUGGGUUGCACCAGAAGUAGAUAGCUUAACCUUAGGGAGGGCGUUUACCACGGUGUGAUUCAUGACUGGGGUGAAGUCGUAACAAGGUAACCGUAGGGGAACCUGCGGUUGGAUCACCUCCUUAC
This 487-nucleotide ribosomal RNA is filed under the name Gilliamella sp. Choc6-1. RNAcentral describes it as "bacterial SSU rRNA". It matches the Rfam family "Bacterial small subunit ribosomal RNA", at positions 1047 to 1533 of the family's 1533-position model. Lineage: Bacteria; Pseudomonadati; Pseudomonadota; Gammaproteobacteria; Orbales; Orbaceae. The record is from RNAcentral.